CCAUCAGAACUCCGCAGUUAAGCGUGCUUGGGCGAGAGUAGUACUAGGAUGGGUGACCUCCUGGGAAGUCCUCGUCUUGCACUCCU
RNAcentral lists this ribosomal RNA (86 nucleotides) under Allium schoenoprasum. The record is from RNAcentral. Lineage: Eukaryota; Viridiplantae; Streptophyta; Magnoliopsida; Asparagales; Amaryllidaceae.